Molecule: ribosomal RNA, 468 nt
Filed under: uncultured bacterium
Lineage: Bacteria
Description: partial 16S ribosomal RNA
Rfam family: Bacterial small subunit ribosomal RNA (bases 58-468)
Source: RNAcentral
GGGGGGGGGGGGGGGGGGGCGUGGGGGGGGGGGGGCGGGGGGGGAGGGGGUGGUGGGGUGGGGUGCUGGGGUGGCGAGCGGGGGGGUAACACGUGGGUAAGCUGCCGUUGAGUUUGGGAUAGCUUCAGGGGGCUGGGGCUAGUGCAGGGUGGGGGGUCCUGCUGGCUGGUGGGGGUUGGGAAGUUUGGGCGGUUGUGGAUGGGCUCGCGGCUUAUCAGCUUGUUGGUGGGGUAGUGGCUUACCAAUGCCUUGACGGGUAGCCGGCCUUGCAGGGUGACCGGCCACAUUGGUACUGAGAUACGGCCCAGACUCCUACGGGAGGCAGCAGUGGGGAAUAAUGCACAAUGGGCGGAAGCCGCAUGCAGCAACGCCGCGUGCGGGAUGACGGCCUUCGGGUUGUAAACCGCUUCCGCCUGUGACGAAGCGUGAGUGACGGUAAUGGGUAAAGAAGCACCGGCUAACUACGUG